Carassius gibelio (silver crucian carp) is the source of this 3138-nucleotide long non-coding RNA. RefSeq lists it as uncharacterized. The record is from RefSeq and is a predicted model, not a curated record. NCBI's taxonomy places the organism in Eukaryota, Metazoa, Chordata, Actinopteri, Cypriniformes, Cyprinidae. The transcript has 3 exons.
GAGAGAUCUGGGCUUCCAGUGACAUCUACUGAUCCCACGUCACUCCUCUCCCUAUCAGCCAGUCUGUAGAGACUGGGUUACUGGCUUGGGCUCACACAUAUUCAUGGACACAGCUGGGACAUUUUAAUUAACUUAAUUCUGCUUAAUUACUCACUCCGGUGCAGCUGACCAAACUCCAUCACGAACCCUCUCCGCAUGGCUGAGUUAUGGCCAGCUUUGAGAGGGGUUCUGGGAACCGGAGAAAGAUGGACAGGCAGGAACACCAAACAGUGGACUUCAGUGAAGAACUGGGUAGAGUUACACCAGCCAUUUAGCCUCCUGACAUCCAGCAGUGGGGUUUGAGAUGCAGAGGGCAGGGGCUGCUCCUCCUGGUGCUCCGGGGUCAGGUAAGGUAGCAUAGGGGUCUGCUCGGGGUCACAAGGCCCCAGCAGGAGAGCCUGAGAGUGGGCAGACUGUAUGUGGAUUUAGAACCUGAGGACCAGAACCAUCCACGUACCACCAAUUAAGCCCGACUCUGCCCCGGUGAUGCGGGACACCACCAGGACGGGUCUUGGGCCCCUUCUUGUUUAUGCAUUUGCAUUGUUCCCAGAUGUGUAACUAGGCAAUUGUGCUGGGCCAUAAAACAGCAUGUCUUUUUAAAAGUAUUUGAAAGGGAAAAAGAGGCAAGCUAGUCUAUUCAUUUACCUCAACUUUGUCAAUCUCUCACAAACACUAUUAUAACCUUAAACCAGCCGAAUAAUGAGCAAAACCACAGCUCCUACUGAGUUGGCAAAAGAGACAGUAAAGAAGGGAGGAGAAAACCUUAAAAAAGGACAACAAGAGGGAAAGAAAAUUAAUGACUCUUCACAUAUUGCCUGUGUUUCUUUUGUGGAGACCAACAAAAGACAAGCAGGUUCGAGAGGAUGUGGGGCUCGGGAGCCAGUGGAUAUCUGGCCUGUAAAUUCCACCAAACAUUAAUAACUUCAUUACAUAGCAAUUACCAGCCAGAGGUGGGGGAACGGAGUAUCACACUUCAACAUGCAUUUGUCCAAGACUCGGCACUUCUCGGCCUUCUUCUUUUCUCUCUCACCCCCUCUUUCUUACCCCAUCUUUCUUUCUGUCUCCUAAAGGCAGAAAGGUCAAACCAUUACAUCGUCUGAAUGAAAUGUUCCUGACUUCCUCUGAUCUAUAGGCGACUGGCCUGGAAGCCACUGGUAUUGUUCAGGUGUGUAAUAAUUAAUGCAGCACUAGAAUGACUCUCCUGGGAUGAACGGAGGGGUGGGAAUGCUGUCGAUUCCACACCCACUGAGGUCACAAACUGUCUCCGGAUCAAAAGGCCAAAACGGGAAGCCAAAGAGCAAUGCUACAAUGCUCAGUUUACUUAUUUACUAUCAGUUGUCUUAUUUGAAUUGAACACACUCUGUAAUUCCCUGGUAAAGCAUCUCUGUCUAUAUCUAUAAUUUAAUUGAUGUCAAAUAAUUGGCUGCUAUUACAGUGCCAUAUUACAAAACCACACUGUGAACCCACAUUAUACUUAUUUACUGAUUACAUAUUAUAUCAUAUUAUUUACCACACCUGAGUGUCAUUAUUUCCAGAGAAAUGAAAACGUUUGUGUGCGAUCAUUAAACAGGUGUGACUCCUAAAUAUAUAUUUAUAUAUUUAAUGAGUAUUUAAUUAAUUUGUUUCUUCAUAUACUUGUUAGCAGUGCAUACUUAGGUUGUUUAGUUUAUUGCAUUAUUUUGCAUGAUUCGUGCUGCCCUGAUGGUAAGUUGUGUUUGUAAUAUUCCACUCUGUUUAUAUAUGUUUAUUAAUCAUGGUUCAGCAGAGGAUAAAUUACAGUAUAAUGAGCAUUUAUUGACAUUUCUUUUAUGGACACUUUUGUAUUAAGUCAUACAUGUAAUAAAAUAAGUGUGUUGCAUGAGGACGCACACAGACUGAAAUGAUAUGGGCAAGCAGAGACAUGAAACAGCAAUCAAGUCUUUGAUGUGAGCCUCGGGCAACAAGUCAACCUGAACCUCCUUUACAAGGAACUAUUCAUAAUUGCUGCAUGUUCAUACAAAGACAUGCAUUGUUUCCUUCUCUGAUUCUCAAUUCGAAAAUACAUUCGCAUUAACACGUAUCUAAGUUUGACCUACUUUGUUUGAUAAAAUGAUCAUUUACUCAGGCCCUCCUCACAUCUGAGUCUAUCACUCUAGGAGAGUCAAAAUAUUGCAUCGUCUAAAUGUUUUUAUUGUUCUGUUGCAAACAGCUUAAGGUGUUAAACAACCCGAGCAAAUUGAUUUUUGACCAAGAUAAACAUUUCCACGGUGCUUUUUUCUUAAUUCCAGGAAGCUGGUGCUCAAUAAUCAACCCCUGUCACCGUUGAUGGAAGACAUCAGGAUUCACACAAUACAGCGUGUUAAACAUCAAACUGUGGUGUGAACGAAGCAUCUCUGCUCUCUAACUCUCUGACUGUGAUUCCUUACAGAAGCUGCUGCUGGUGACACUUCCAAUGAAACUCCAGCAGAAAUGAGCCUUACGAGGUACAGGCACUUGAAGACAAGAUAAUUAAGGACUCUGACAGCAUGAACACACAGUGGAGAAAUAUUGGAUGAUUUGCCCCAUAAGGCCCAUAUGCUCUGCUUAGCUUUGUCCUCCUGAAGGCACUACAGCACGCAUGCAGGCCAGCACACGCGUGUGCUUCGACAUCUGCCCGCAGGACGUGUCAGUGGAAACUUCUCGCAUCCGACUGAUCCAGCACAGACACUGGGAAGCUUGCAGGGCUGAAGAUGUCAGAUGCAAACCCUCACAGUCAUGGAGAACAGAAAAAGAUCAGCUUCAGAAACGCAGUAUUACAUCUGGGAGAGAUGAUGGAAAACGAACAAAACUCAGCAGCGACUGUGAACAUGAUUGUCCCCUUAAGCUCCAUAUUCUGGUUAAGCCUUUAUUCUGAACAGAUGUUUGCUCCACAGAUAUUGGGAUAUUCCUGUAUAGUCAACAUAAGCUGAAAACAAAAGAGUAUUCUUUUGUGUGGAUACUGGAGUUUAUGACACAGUUUGUAUAUUGCUUGAACUGCUUAUUGCAAUCAGGUUAAUGUGUUUAUGUGUAAUGUGUAAUCAGGUUAAUCAUAUAUUCUAUGAUUAAAAAUGCAGAUUACGGUCAAUCCAGACCAAUCCAGGA